Molecule: microRNA precursor, 107 nt
Filed under: Prunus persica (peach)
Lineage: Eukaryota; Viridiplantae; Streptophyta; Magnoliopsida; Rosales; Rosaceae
Description: MIR6274 microRNA precursor family
Rfam family: MIR6274 microRNA precursor family
Source: Rfam by way of RNAcentral
GAAAAUCACUGUUUUGUUAUUCUCGAUCAAUAACACAAUGACACGUGGAAAAGUUAUCAUACGUGUCAUUGCGUUAUUGACCAGAAAUAGCAAAAAGUGAUAUUUCC